GGCGGUUCUCAGGUGACACACCCUGGAAUCGGGCUCCCCCUUCUCUGGUUCUGGGUGCGUCACCUGAGAACUGCA
Myotis davidii is the source of this 75-nucleotide non-coding RNA. The record is from Rfam. Lineage: Eukaryota; Metazoa; Chordata; Mammalia; Chiroptera; Vespertilionidae.